GACGAACGCUGGCGGCGUGCUUAACACAUGCCAGUCGAACGGAAAGGCCCUGCUUUUGUGGGGUGCUCGAGUGGCGAACGGGUGAGUAACACGUGAGUAACCUGCCCUUGACUUUGGGAUAACUUCAGGAAACUGGGGCUAAUACCGGAUAGGAGCUCCUGCUGCAUGGUGGGGGUUGGAAAGUUUCGGCGGUUGGGGAUGGACUCGCGGCUUAUCAGCUUGUUGGUGGGGUAGUGGCUUACCAAGGCUUUGACGGGUAGCCGGCCUGAGAGGGUGACCGGCCACAUUGGGACUGAGAUACGGCCCAGACACCUACGGGAGGCAGCAGUGGGGAAUAUUGCACAAUGGGCGGAAGCCUGAUGCAGCAACGCCGCGUGCGGGAUGACGGCCUUCGGGUGGUAAACCGCUUUCGCCUGUGACGAAGCGUGAGUGACGGUAAUGGGUAAAGAAGCACCGGCUAACUACGU
Molecule: ribosomal RNA, 467 nt
Filed under: uncultured bacterium
Lineage: Bacteria
Description: partial 16S ribosomal RNA
Rfam family: Bacterial small subunit ribosomal RNA
Source: RNAcentral